AUUGAACGCUGGCGGCAUGCCUUACACAUGCAAGUCGAACGGCAGCGGACCUUCGGGUGCCGGCGAGUGGCGAACGGGUGAGUAAUAUAUCGGAACGUACCUUUCAGUGGGGGAUAACGUAGCGAAAGUUACGCUAAUACCGCAUAUUCUGUGAGCAGGAAAGCAGGGGAUCGCAAGACCUUGCGCUGAUUGAGCGGCCGAUAUCAGAUUAGCUAGUUGGUGAGGUAAAGGCUCACCAAGGCGACGAUCUGUAGCGGGUCUGAGAGGAUGAUCCGCCACGCUGGAACUGAGACACGGUCCAGACUCCUACGGGAGGCAGCAGUGGGGAAUUUUGGACAAUGGGCGCAAGCCUGAUCCAGCCAUGCCGCGUGAGUGAAGAAGGCCUCGGUUGUAAG
RNAcentral lists this ribosomal RNA (395 nucleotides) under uncultured bacterium. RNAcentral's name for it is "bacterial SSU rRNA". It matches the Rfam family "Bacterial small subunit ribosomal RNA", at positions 30 to 429 of the family's 1533-position model. The record is from RNAcentral.